UACGUAGGUGGCAAGCGUUGUCCGGAUUUACUGGGCGUAAAGAGCGCGCAGGCGGUCAGAUAAGUCGAAUGUGAAAGCCCCCGGCUCAACUGGGGAGGGUCAUUCGAUACUGUUCGACUCGAAGGCAGGAGAGGGAAGCGGAAUUCCCGGUGUAGUGGUGAAAUGCGUAGAUAUCGGGAGGAACACCAGUGGCGAAGGCGGCUUCCUGGCCUGUUCUUGACGCUGAGGCGCGAAAGCUAGGGGAGCAAACAGGGAU
RNAcentral lists this ribosomal RNA (256 nucleotides) under uncultured bacterium. RNAcentral describes it as "partial 16S ribosomal RNA". It matches the Rfam family "Bacterial small subunit ribosomal RNA", at positions 524 to 779 of the family's 1533-position model. The record is from RNAcentral.